UCACUCAAUAGCCAUUGUCAAUGUUAAUAUUUAUAGUUCACUAUGUAGCAUUGCAUGCAGGCUGUACAUCAAUAUAUCUGUCUCUUUAUCUAUCUCUCUCAUUCUCUUUAUCAGGUAGGCUAGUAGUGUGGUUGAUGGUUGGAUACAGUACUGAAUGGUUAAGUGAUGAUGGCUAGUAGUUAUCAUGUUGAUGGUCAUGCUGAAUGAUUAAGUGCUUCCAUCUAGAGCAGGAGAGAAAAUAAAUACUAAUAAUUGUUCUAUAAAGAUUUAGAAAACAUGUACACGUAAUGUAAAAUGUUAUUUAUUUAAGUAAACAUGUUAAACAUGUUUUCAUAUGAAAUUAUUAACAUAUAUCGCUUUUAUACUUACAAGAAUAACAAAUGGACAUGUUAAUAAAACAGCAACAAUGUCAUUUAAUGAGGUCUACCAGCCUGAAUUUGAUUAGAUACUGAUAACAGUGUGACCUGCAGUUGGACACAGACAGAGGGCAGAAGAGUACUGAGAGGACACACACACACUGCAUGCCACAUGCAGGCAUGCACAAACACACACACAUACACACACACACACACACGUAAAGUUCCCCUUUUAAACAUCUGAUAAAGAUGCAGAUAUAGAUUUCCUCCACCACUUCUGAAUAACUCCUCACACUGAUGUCACACAGAGACAGCAUACAUAGAAAAACAGGUCCUUAUAUGGCCAUCGAUGGCUGGUCACAGAGUACAAGCCAUAACGUGACCUCCUUAUGAAGGCUGGGAUGUCAAAGCCUCAGUAAUGCUCUAAGAUCUAUGUCCAAUUUUUUAUCUGCUAAAAUAGAUGAUCACUUCAAUUAUAUCUUAAAUCAUUUAAAACGGAUGGGAAACAACCAUGUUUAGAUUAGAAACUAAGGCUGGUGCAAGUCACGUGGUGGCCAGUGUUGUGUUGAUUUGACAGUUUCCCCUUCACUGUGGUUGACUGACAAAGAGAUUCACUACCAUAAGUCACACAGAGGCAGUACAGUCCAGGGAGAAGAAAGGUACAGACGUACAUUAGAGCUGAGGUUAGAAGUAGAAGUUACUGUAUUUGACAACAAGUGUGUUAAGAUGUCAGAGAGAGUCUAUGAAAACUCAGACAGAUUUGAAGAUGACGAGCCUGAUGCAAUGAAGAACACAGACAUUGAUGGCCAAUUAUAUGCCAACAUAAGAGCCUUCAAGCCUAGUCCAAGAGAUGGAGUUGUUGCUUCAGUUCAUGUUCAGUGGUGGAAGAGACCCUCUGGAGUUGCUGCAGUGUGUCUGGGGCUGCUGUGUGUUCUCCUACUGGCUGGGAUCAUAGGCCUGUCUGUCUACUUCAUUGGUCAUCGCGACUCAAAAGAGAGAGACCAGCUACAGGCCAGUUACAACACCCUGACUGAAGAGAGAGACCAGCUAGAGACCAGUUACA
Long non-coding RNA from Coregonus clupeaformis (lake whitefish), 1419 nucleotides. RefSeq lists it as uncharacterized. The transcript is spliced from 3 exons. The record is from RefSeq and is a predicted model, not a curated record. Lineage: Eukaryota; Metazoa; Chordata; Actinopteri; Salmoniformes; Salmonidae.